This 87-nucleotide transfer RNA is filed under the name bovine gut metagenome. It matches the Rfam family "tRNA". Rfam says of the family: Transfer RNA (tRNA) molecules are approximately 80 nucleotides in length. Their secondary structure includes four short double-helical elements and three loops (D, anti-codon, and T loops). The record is from RNAcentral.
GAGAGAUGGCUGAGCUGGUCUAAGGCGCACGACUGGAAAUCGUGUGAACGCUAAUACCGUUCCAAGGGUUCGAAUCCCUUUCUCUCC